RNAcentral lists this ribosomal RNA (375 nucleotides) under uncultured Synergistaceae bacterium. RNAcentral describes it as "bacterial SSU rRNA". It matches the Rfam family "Bacterial small subunit ribosomal RNA", at positions 1011 to 1382 of the family's 1533-position model. The record is from RNAcentral. Lineage: Bacteria; Thermotogati; Synergistota; Synergistia; Synergistales; Synergistaceae.
ACGCUUCCUUCGGGAAGCGAGCGUACACAGGUGCUGCAUGGCGUGCGUCAGCUCGUGUCGUGAGAUGUUGGGUUAAGUCCCGCAACGAGCGCAACCCCUGCAUUCAGUUGCCAUCGGGUAAUGCCGGGCACUCUGGAAGGACUGCCAUCGACAAGAUGGAGGAAGGUGGGAUGACGUCAAGUCAUCAUGGCCCUUAUGUCCAGGGCGACACACGUGCUACAAUGGCCGGCACAACGGGAAGCGAGUUCGCGAGGACAAGCGGAUCCCUUAAAGCCGGUCGCAGUUCGGAUUGAAGUCUGCAACUCGACUUCAUGAAGCUGGAAUCGCUAGUAAUCGUGGAUCAGCCAAGCCGCGGUGAAUACGUUCCCGGGCCUU